Molecule: RNA transcript, 920 nt
Organism: Salvia splendens (bonfire salvia)
Lineage: Eukaryota; Viridiplantae; Streptophyta; Magnoliopsida; Lamiales; Lamiaceae
Exons: 5
Source: RefSeq, a predicted model, not a curated record
CCCGGUUCAAAUCAUGUUAGUUAACUACUCUUCUUUAGAUAACUCUAACACAACAAAAGCCAGCGAUAGGCAUUAUCACAAUUUUCCCGUUUGGCUUUACCAAGUACUUGUGACCUUAUUGCCCCUCCACCUUCUUCUAUCUACAUCCCUAUUCCUCACGCCAAAUUCAAAUUUUCUCAAAAGGCAGUUACCAGGAGCGGCGAAUCAUAUUUUCAGAUUUCAAAAUCAAUCUAGGGAGCCUUGGUUGGAUUCAUUUAUUUCUCAAAAAUCUCAAAAAUUUGGAGUUGUUGUCCUUUGAAGCAAAUUGGAUGUGAUUAAGAUUAAAGUCUUUGGAUGGGAUAGGGGGCUGCGCUCGAGCUCCGUCUCGCCGCCGCCGCAUUUGUCCGAUCUCUCGCACACCCUGACACCUUCCAAGGAUGAUCGAAGUGGCAUAGCUAGUGAGAAGAAGACACCAUCGAUUUCACGGAGGUAAAAAUAUGCUCAAUUUGAUAUGGAGAAUUAAGAGUCUGGUCGAGGCCCCGACUUCGAGUGGAUCGGUUAGUGGCGGUAGGAGUCGCCUUAGAAUGUAAAUAACGCUUUGACCAUGUCGAAAGAGUAGCUGAAAUCAUCAGCUGCAUUUGGGCUCAUCAGGCAGACCAACCUUCUUCACACAUGUCGGUGGUGUCAGCGCUGCACGCUGAGCUUGAGAGAGCUCGGACGCAGGUCAAUUAUCUAAUGCAAGAGCAGCGGAAUAGAGACGAGGUCCAUCAUCUCAUCAAGUGUUUUGCUGAGGAAAAGAUGUCGUGGAAGAGGAGUUCAUCAUCUCAUCAACCUUCUUCACACAUGUUAGGGUUAGUGCGAAAUUUUUAGUUCAGCCCCAAAAAUGGGGGAAUGAGGACAAUCUGGGAAUUAUGAAAUAUUAAUGAGGAUAAAUUCGUGAA